Molecule: long non-coding RNA, 1225 nt
Filed under: Numida meleagris (helmeted guineafowl)
Lineage: Eukaryota; Metazoa; Chordata; Aves; Galliformes; Numididae
Description: lncRNA (ENSNMEG00000015508.1)
Source: RNAcentral
AGUGCUUGCUCUUAGGGCUAUUAAAAAUGAUGCAGAAUUUUAACCAUCUGCUGCACCAGGUACACCACACUGGUGCUACAGAUCUGUGUUUUUGCAGAGGGAAGACCUGCAGAGCUUUCAAAUUGCAAAAAUGCAUUUAAGCAUUUAAAUAUUCCAUGAAAUAACACCCUUAAAGCCAGAUUCCUUUUAAUUGUAAAUUGAGAAAUAGGUUUUAGCUAAAUCGAAGCAUUUUCCAUCCUAAAUGUGCUACCAGAGAGGGGGAUUUUCUAAAGGAGGCACAGGUGUACUGCUGAGCACAGGAUGCUGGCACUGCAGAAAUGCUAUCUCUGCAAGCAGUGUAAAGCUCCAGAAACGGCCAGAGAUAGUAACUGAGCAUUUUGUAGCCUUACAUUUUCUCCUAAAGGCUUUUGGCUGAAGUGUGCGAGACGUAACUGCAUGUGGAAGGUCAUCUCUUGCACUUGACCGGCUGCUUGUGUACGUACAGGAGUGAAAUUAUCUAAUGAAUAACAUGAAGACUGGAGAAGAAACUGGGCUGCCAACAUGGCCUCAUGAACUAUAUUAGUAUGUCCAGCUCACACAGGAAGACCGCUUCUAAGUAAUAAUGGAUGGAAAAAAUGUUUUUGAAGUGGUGAAGCUCAAAGAAGAAAAUAGCAGGAAUCUUUAAUGGCCUGGCUUAAAAUGCAUUUCAUGGUCAGUGGAAAAAAAUGAGGAAGAGGAGGGUGUGGCUGCUGCUUAGAGAAUCUGGCUGUGCAGGCAGGGACUGUCUUUGGGGUUGUGAUCCUUCAACCUCACAGAAGGAAGACUUCUCUUAGUGUCUCAGCCUGGAUGUAGUCUGGAUGCGUGAAAUACACAGCAGCAGAACUUGAGUUUUCAAGUGAAAUAGCUCUUCCUUGUCUGAAAAAUUCUUUAAAAUGCAGGAUUAGAUGUUUCCUACCACAUCAUCUGCAGGACUCCCAGAAAAUUCUUCUGCAAUUUGUGGCUGCCUGGAAAAAGAUGUAGUAGUAGUCUGGCAAAAUGAACUCAAGAUGCACAAGGAGAAGACACUAGAGACUGAUGUGCAAGGUGUUCAGGUAUUUAUGAUUUCAUUAUGUAUACCAGUAAUUGUUGUAUGAUGUAAGGUACUCUGUAGUUUAUGCAUUUACAGGCCUGAGGGCAAAUAUUUGUGUUAACUCACAAAAGGCGAUGAUAAAACAAUAUAAAAUAAAUGGAAAAGUCAUAAGAAGCA